CCGACGGUGAGGGAUGAAAGCUGGGGGAGCAAACCGGAUUAGAUACCCGGGUAGUCCCAGCUGUAAACGAUGCAAACUCGAUGAUGCGUUGGCUUGUUGCUAGCGCAGUGUCGCAGGGAAGCCGUUAAGUUUGCCGCCUGGGAAGUACGUACGCAAGUAUGAAACUUAAAGGAAUUGGCGGGGGAGCACCACAAGGGGUGAAGCCUGCGGUUCAAUUGGAGUCAACGCCUGAAACCUUACCCGGAGAGACAGCAGAAUGAAGGUCAAGCUGAAGACUUUACCAGACAAGCUGAGAGGUGGUGCAUGGCCGUCGCCAGCUCGUGCCGUGAGAUGUCCUGUUAAGUCAGGUAACGAGCGAGAUCCCUGCCUCUAGUUGCCACUAUUACACCCUGGUGUAGUAGGGCGAAUUAGGGGGACCGCCGCAGUUAAUGCGGAGGAAGGAAGGGGCUACGGCAGGUCAGUAUGCCCCGAAACUCUGGGGCCACACGCGGGCUGCAAUGGUAGCGACAAUGAGUCCCGAAAUCGAAAGAUAGAGGUAAUCCCUAAACGCUACCACAGUUGUGAUUGAGGGCUGCAACUCGCCCUCAUGAACAUGGAAUCCCUAGUAACCGCGUGUCAUUAUCGCGCAGUGAAUACGUCCCUGCUCCUUGCACUCACCGCCCGU
RNAcentral lists this ribosomal RNA (664 nucleotides) under uncultured archaeon. Its description in RNAcentral is "bacterial SSU rRNA". It matches the Rfam family "Archaeal small subunit ribosomal RNA", at positions 691 to 1353 of the family's 1478-position model. The record is from RNAcentral.